UGGAUGAUUUGGAUGAUUUGUGAAGGUUUAAGAGGAGAUUGGAGAAGGUUUAUGAUGAAAUAGGGGUUGAAAAUGGUGAUGAACGCGUGAUGGACGAGUGAAAGUAAUGGAAAAGUGGUUGAAUGUAUUGGGGAAGAUGAAGAAAUUCGAAAUUACACGUUUUCCCGUGCACCUACGCCUCGCGUGAUGCCCUUCCACGCCGCGCGUAGUGUAAAAAUUGUAACGGU
This 227-nucleotide long non-coding RNA is filed under the name Trifolium pratense (red clover). RNAcentral describes it as "long non-coding RNA (TPRA_LNC011836)". Lineage: Eukaryota; Viridiplantae; Streptophyta; Magnoliopsida; Fabales; Fabaceae. The record is from RNAcentral.